This 29-nucleotide non-coding RNA is filed under the name Mus musculus (house mouse). The record is from RNAcentral. Lineage: Eukaryota; Metazoa; Chordata; Mammalia; Rodentia; Muridae.
UCCCUCAAAGGAUNUGCAAGGCUGCUUAC